Molecule: ribosomal RNA, 721 nt
Filed under: Prorocentrum minimum
Lineage: Eukaryota; Dinophyceae; Prorocentrales; Prorocentraceae
Description: partial Bacterial large subunit ribosomal RNA
Rfam family: Bacterial large subunit ribosomal RNA
Source: RNAcentral
GAAGAAGCGCAUACGGUGGAUGCCUUGGCAGUCAGAGGCGAUGAAAGACGUGGUAGCCUGCGAAAAGCUUCGGGGAGUCGGCAAACAGACUUUGAUCCGGAGAUGUCUGAAUGGGGGAACCCAGCCAUCAUAAGAUGGUUAUCUUGUACUGAAUACAUAGGUGCAAGAGGCGAACCAGGGGAACUGAAACAUCUAAGUACCCUGAGGAAAAGAAAUCAACCGAGAUUCCCUUAGUAGUGGCGAGCGAACGGGGACCAGCCCUUAAGUUGGUUUGAGAUUAGUGGAACGCUCUGGAAAGUGCGGCCAUAGUGGGUGAUAGCCCCGUACACGAAAAUCUCUUAUCAAUGAAAUCGAGUAGGACGGAGCACGAGAAACUUUGUCUGAAUAUGGGGGGACCAUCCUCCAAGGCUAAAUACUACUGACUGACCGAUAGUGAACCAGUACCGUGAGGGAAAGGCGAAAAGAACCCCGGCGAGGGGAGUGAAACAGAACCUGAAACCGUGUACGUACAAGCAGUGGGAGCACGCCUUGAGCGUGUGACUGCGUACCUUUUGUAUAAUGGGUCAGCGACUUAUAUUCUGUAGCAAGGUUAACCGUAUAGGGGAGCCGCAGGGAAACCGAGUCUUAACUGGGCGUUAAGUUGCAGGGUAUAGACCCGAAACCCGGUGAUCUAUCCAUGGGCAGGUUGAAGGUUGGGUAACACUAACUGGAGGACCGAACC